Molecule: non-coding RNA, 417 nt
Organism: Pseudopodoces humilis (Tibetan ground-tit)
Lineage: Eukaryota; Metazoa; Chordata; Aves; Passeriformes; Paridae
Source: RefSeq, a predicted model, not a curated record
GGGGGGGCCUGGGAGACCCCGACGGCGCCGUCAGGGGGGCGGCGGCGGCGGCACUGAGGGAGCUGCGGGAGCAGCUGCAGCCCGAGCUGGCUCCGCUGGCGGCCGAGGCCCUCCCGAGGAUUUUGGGGGAAUUUUGGGGCUCCCAGAAUUCCCCAAAUUCCCCAAAUCCCGACCCCAAAUCCUGGUUCGUGCUGGAGACGCUGCUGGAGGCGCUGGGGGAGGAGGUGCAGCCCUGGCUGCCCCAGGUGAUUCCCAGGAUUUUGGGAGCUUUGGAGCCGUCGGAGCCGGAGCGGAGCCGGGAGCUGGCGCUGAGCGCGCUGCACGCCCUGGCCUGCAGCUCCGGCUCUCUGGAUCUCCCCUCCCCCGCCCUGGGAGCCGUCACCGCCCUGGCCCGGGGGGGACCCCACCAGUUACAGG